GACGAACGCUGGCGGCGUGCUUAACACAUGCAAGUCGAACGGAAAGGCCCUGCUUUUGUGGGGUGCUCGAGUGGCGAACGGGUGAGUAACACGUGAGUAACCUGCCCUUGACUUUGGGAUAACUUCAGGAAACUGGGGCUAAUACCGGAUAGGAGCUCCUGCUGCAUGGUGGGGGUUGGAAAGUUUCGGCGGUUGGGGAUGGACUCGCGGCUUAUCGGCUUGUUGGUGGGGUAGUGGCUUACCAAGGCUUUGACGGGUAGCCGGCCUGAGAGGGUGACCGGCCACAUUGGAACUGAGAUACGGCCCAGACUCCUACGGGAGGCAGAAGUGGGGAAUAUUGCAUAAUGGGCGGAAGCCUGAUGCAGCAACGCCGCGUGCGGGAUGACGGCCUUCGGGUUGUAAACCGCUUUCGCCUGUGACGAAGCGUGAGUGACGGUAAUGGGUAAAGAAGCACCGGCUAACUACGUG
Molecule: ribosomal RNA, 468 nt
Filed under: uncultured bacterium
Lineage: Bacteria
Description: partial 16S ribosomal RNA
Rfam family: Bacterial small subunit ribosomal RNA
Source: RNAcentral